GAUGAACGCUAGCGGCAGGCUUAACACAUGCAAGUCGAGGGGCAACACGGGUAGCAAUACCUGGUGGCGACCGGCGCAAGGGUGCGUAACGCGUGAGCAACAUACCCUAUACAGGGGGAUAAUCCAGGGAAACUUGGUCUAAUAUCCCAUAGGAUUUACAGAUGUCAUCAUCUAUAAAUUAAAGCUUCGGUGGUAUAGGAUUGGCUCGCGUGACAUUAGCUAGAUGGUGGGGUAACGGCCUACCAUGGCCAUGAUGUCUAGGGGUUCUGAGAGGAAGACCCCCCCACACUGGGACUGAGACACGGCCCAGACUCCUACGGGAGGCAGCAGUGAGGAAUAUUGGACAAUGGAUGGAAAUCUGAUCCAGCCAUGCCGCGUGCAGGAAGACGGCCCUAUGGGUUGUAAACUGCUUUUAUAUGGGAGCAAUAAGGUCUACGCGUAGACCGAUGAGAGUACCAUAUGAAUAAGCAUCGGCUAACUCCGUCG
Molecule: ribosomal RNA, 486 nt
Filed under: uncultured bacterium
Lineage: Bacteria
Description: bacterial SSU rRNA
Rfam family: Bacterial small subunit ribosomal RNA
Source: RNAcentral